AUCCAGCUGACGAGUCCCAAAUAGGACGAAACGAGCGUCCACUGU
RNAcentral lists this non-coding RNA (45 nucleotides) under Schistosoma mansoni. The record is from RNAcentral. Lineage: Eukaryota; Metazoa; Platyhelminthes; Trematoda; Strigeidida; Schistosomatidae.